GGGGAAUUUUGGACAAUGGGCGCAAGCCUGAUCCAGCCAUUCCGCGUGCAGGAUGAAGGCCCUCGGGUUGUAAACUGCUUUUGUACGGAACGAAACGCGCUGAGUUAAUACCUCGGCGUAAUGACGGUACCGUAAGAAUAAGCACCGGCUAACUUCGUGCCAGCAGCCGCGGUAAGACGAAGGGGGCUAGCGUUGUUCGGAAUUACUGGGCGUAAAGCGAGUGUAGGUGGUUUUCCAAGUUGGAUGUGAAAGCCUUGAGCUCAACUCAAGAAAUGCAUUCAGGACUGGGAGACUAGAGGACCGGAGAGGAUAGUGGAAUUCCCAGUGUAGUGGUGAAAUACGUAGAGAUUGGGAAGAACACCAGUGGCGAAGGCGGCUAUCUGGACGGUUUCUGACACUAAGACUCGAAAGCGUGGGGAGCAAAC
RNAcentral lists this ribosomal RNA (425 nucleotides) under uncultured bacterium. RNAcentral's name for it is "bacterial SSU rRNA". It matches the Rfam family "Bacterial small subunit ribosomal RNA", at positions 356 to 773 of the family's 1533-position model. The record is from RNAcentral.